UACGUAGGGUGCGAGCGUUAAUCGGAAUUACUGGGCGUAAAGGGCGCGUAGGUGGCGGCCCAAGUCCAUGGUGAAAGCUCGAUGCUCAACAUCGAGUCGGCCACGGAUACUGGGUUGCUCGAGCACUGUAGGGGCAGAUGGAAUUCCGGGUGUAGCGGUGGAAUGCGUAGAGAUCCGGAAGAACGACCGGUGGCGAAGGCGGCUACCUGGACCGGAACUGACGCUGAGGCGCGAAAGCGUGGGAGCAAACGGG
RNAcentral lists this ribosomal RNA (253 nucleotides) under uncultured bacterium. RNAcentral's name for it is "partial 16S ribosomal RNA". It matches the Rfam family "Bacterial small subunit ribosomal RNA", at positions 524 to 776 of the family's 1533-position model. The record is from RNAcentral.